GCCACUAGCACAGAGCAACGGGGAAGGUUCCAAUUGUCUAAUAGGAAGCUCUCUAGGUUAAUGUCUGCAUCACGAAGAUGCUCCUAUGAUACCUAUUCUAUGUUAUUCUAAGACUCUAGGAUUCAAGGGAUUGUACCUAUUAGUUAAUCGUUUGGAAUUAGACACAUUUUGUAUAGAGAUCGAUAACCCCCAAGUCGAAAAUUGUCCUAACCAUGAGACAGAAUUUGAAUGGGUCAAUCGGAAUAAUAAAGCUAUGUGGAGUUCAAAUUUGGUUCAAAUUAAGGAUUAGUUAAGAAAGUG
RNAcentral lists this unclassified non-coding RNA (300 nucleotides) under Hevea brasiliensis (rubber tree). The record is from RNAcentral. Lineage: Eukaryota; Viridiplantae; Streptophyta; Magnoliopsida; Malpighiales; Euphorbiaceae.